GAUUUUGAGUGUCCAGCCCACGCGUUUAGCGAAAGGCUGAUGGCUGGUGGCUUUUGCCACCGGCCU
This is a non-coding RNA of Pseudomonas syringae pv. tomato str. DC3000, 66 nucleotides long. It matches the Rfam family "Pseudomonas sRNA P26". Rfam says of the family: P26 is conserved across many Gammaproteobacteria species and appears to be consistently located between the DNA directed RNA polymerase (beta subunit) and 50S ribosomal protein L7/L12 genes. The record is from Rfam. Lineage: Bacteria; Pseudomonadati; Pseudomonadota; Gammaproteobacteria; Pseudomonadales; Pseudomonadaceae.